Molecule: transfer RNA, 76 nt
Filed under: Methanobacteriota archaeon
Lineage: Archaea; Methanobacteriati; Methanobacteriota
Also listed under: 3 other names
Description: Euryarchaeota archaeon tRNA-Gln
Rfam family: tRNA
About the family: Transfer RNA (tRNA) molecules are approximately 80 nucleotides in length. Their secondary structure includes four short double-helical elements and three loops (D, anti-codon, and T loops).
Source: RNAcentral
AGUCCCGUAGUGUAGUGGUCCAUCAUGGAGGAUUUUGGUUCCUCCGACCCUGGUUCGAAUCCGGGCGGGACUACCA